UCGAGCGAAUGGAUUAAGAGCUUGCUCUUAUGAAGUUAGCGGCGGACGGGUGAGUAACACGUGGGUAACCUGCCCAUAAGACUGGGAUAACUCCGGGAAACCGGGGCUAAUACCGGAUAACAUUUUGAACCGCAUGGUUCGAAAUUGAAAGGCGGCUUCGGCUGUCACUUAUGGAUGGACCCGCGUCGCAUUAGCUAGUUGGUGAGGUAACGGCUCACCAAGGCAACGAUGCGUAGCCGACCUGAGAGGGUGAUCGGCCACACUGGGACUGAGACACGGCCCAGACUCCUACGGGAGGCAGCAGUAGGGAAUCUUCCGCAAUGGACGAAAGUCUGACGGAGCAACGCCGCGUGAGUGAUGAAGGCUUUCGGGUCGUAAAACUCUGUUGUUAGGGAAGAACAAGUGCUAGUUGAAUAAGCUGGCACCUUGACGGUACCUAACCAGAAAGCCACGGCUAACUACGUGCCAGCAGCCGCGGUAAUACGUAGGUGGCAAGCGUUAUCCGGAAUUAUUGGGCGUAAAGCGCGCGCAGGUGGUUUCUUAAGUCUGAUGUGAAAGCCCACGGCUCAACCGUGGAGGGUCAUUGGAAACUGGGAGACUUGAGUGCAGAAGAGGAAAGUGGAAUUCCAUGUGUAGCGGUGAAAUGCGUAGAGAUAUGGAGGAACACCA
Molecule: ribosomal RNA, 669 nt
Filed under: Bacillus sp. FJAT-4674
Lineage: Bacteria; Bacillati; Bacillota; Bacilli; Caryophanales; Bacillaceae
Description: bacterial SSU rRNA
Rfam family: Bacterial small subunit ribosomal RNA
Source: RNAcentral